GAUGAAGAACGUAGUGAAAUGCGAUAAGUAGUGUGAAUUGCAGAAUUCAGUGAAUCAUCGAAUCUUUGAACGCACAUUGCGCCCCUUGGUAUUCCAUGGGGCAUGCCUGUUCGAGCGUCAUUUGUACCUUCAAGCUUUGCUUGGUGUUGGGUGUUUGUCCUGAGGGACUCGCCUUAAAGUAAUUGGCAGCCAGUGUUUUGGUUUUAAAGCGCAGCACAAGUCGCGAUUCAAGGCUAUACGCCAGCUUCCACAAGCCUUUUUCACUUUUGACCUCGGAUCAGGUAGGGAUACCCGCUGAACUUAAGCAUAUCAAUAAGCGGAGGA
RNAcentral lists this unclassified non-coding RNA (324 nucleotides) under soil metagenome. RNAcentral's name for it is "partial contains 5.8S ribosomal RNA, internal transcribed spacer 2, and large subunit ribosomal RNA". The stretch from base 1 to 120 matches the Rfam family "5.8S ribosomal RNA", at positions 35 to 154 of the family's 154-position model. The record is from RNAcentral.